Long non-coding RNA from Tupaia belangeri chinensis (Chinese tree shrew), 465 nucleotides. RefSeq lists it as uncharacterized. The transcript has 4 exons. The record is from RefSeq and is a predicted model, not a curated record. NCBI's taxonomy places the organism in Eukaryota, Metazoa, Chordata, Mammalia, Scandentia, Tupaiidae.
UGGCUGGCUGUCCGCGCGGGGCUGAAGGGGCUUUCGUGCAGCCAGUAGGCCCUUGAGCACCGCAGCCCAGUCUGGCCUAGACAGGUCCUGUCUGCUGACAGUAAUAAGUGCUGCUCUCACUCUCUGUUCAAACAUCAAAGUUCCUAGUGAAUUACCCAGGCUGUCUCUGUCUCUAAUAGUCUGAGGGAUGACUCUGGGUCUCAGCUCACUUUUAAAAACAAAGACAAAUGGAAUACUCAGAGCCUGAUGAAUGCUCACCAUGCCCUUUUCUUCAUCAUCAGCUGAUACUUCCUGUGAAGCCAGCCACAGUGUCCAAGGAACACCUCAAGGAAUUAGAAAUAAAGACAAUGGAACCAGACACUAGCCAAAGGAAGAAAAAAAUAACAAGCAGAAACAGAAACUAGAAAAACUAUAGAUGAUAUUAAUCGAAGCGUACACAUCUUAGAGAAAAAUCUCUCUCUACAA